CUAGGGAUCUUCCCCUGUCCCAUCCAUCUCACCGCCGCCGCCACUGUUCUCUCGGGAUCCAUUCCGAGCCAACCACCGUCCCUCCUGCCCGAUCCAUCCAUCCAGCGCUCCCCACUGCUCCUCCUCGAUCUAGGUGCCCGCGCCCCCGAUCCAAACUCCCUCUCGAGCUCUCCCCGCCAACUAGUGCCUCCCCUAGAUCCCGUCGUCUUCGCGUGCCACGCCGGAGUUCCACCUCGCCGGAGCACAGGACCCCCUCUGCCGCCGGUGAGAUGCCCUGCUGCUGCUCCUCCGUUUUCCCCUGCACCUCCCGUGCCUCACAUCUCCCUCUCGACCUCCUAUUGCAGCGCCAUGGAUGGCUGCAGCCCAAGCCGCGUCCUCGCCGGGCCUCUCGCGCGCCCGAGCUCCACCUUGCGUGCCCGCCUCCUCGUCCUCGUGGCUGAAGCAGCCGAACAGGAGGCCGAGCGCCCAACCCAGUCCCCGUAGCCUCCCGUGCACGUCGUCUCGUCCCGGACCUCGCCGGAAGGAGCAUCACCACCUCAUCCCUGGAGCCGCCCCUGCCGGAUCCGCGUCCUCGCCAUGCCUAUGAUCCGCCCGUCGUUCCUCACCCGCCCGAGGGCGCCAUCGUUCCCCGUUCCAGCGCGGCUGCUGCCGGCCUCGUCUCUCUGCGAGGGAGACGAGCCCCUCGCUCGUUGACCGCGGCCUCCUCAAGCCCGGCGCCGCCAAGCCGCAUCCUCGCCAGAUUCUCCUCCCCGCCAUCACCUGCGCGUCCCCGGCGUCGUCAACCACCGCUCCAUCCUCUGCUUCGGGCGACAGAGGACGCCACUCGUCCUUGCCGCGUUGACCAUAGCCAGCGCCCCUGGCCCAGCUUCAGCGGCCGCGUGGGCUACCAGCAAGCAGGCCCAGCGCCCCCCUUCCAGCCUCCCUCUCCAAGCCGAACGGGCCAAGGCCCACUGGCUUCGGUUUCUUUCCGGAGUUGUGAGGAUUCGUUCGACUACGUCCGUUUGUCUUCU
Molecule: long non-coding RNA, 1010 nt
Organism: Aegilops tauschii subsp. strangulata
Lineage: Eukaryota; Viridiplantae; Streptophyta; Magnoliopsida; Poales; Poaceae
Source: RefSeq, a predicted model, not a curated record